UUUUCCUACGGGGCGCAGCAGUGAGGAAUAUUGGUCAAUGGGCGAGAGCCUGAACCAGCCAAGUCGCGUGAGGGAAGACGGUCCUAUGGAUUGUAAACCUCUUUUGCCGGGGAGCAAAAAGCGGUACGUGUACCGCAUCGAGAGUACCCGGAGAAAAAGCAUCGGCUAAGUCCGUGCCAGCAGGCGCGGUAAUACGGAGGAUGCGAGCGUUAUACGGAUUUAUUGGGUUUAAAGGGUGCGCAGGUGGCGAGCUAAGUCAGCGGUAAAAUUUCGGGGCUAAACCCCG
Molecule: ribosomal RNA, 286 nt
Filed under: uncultured bacterium
Lineage: Bacteria
Description: partial 16S ribosomal RNA
Rfam family: Bacterial small subunit ribosomal RNA
Source: RNAcentral